This 93-nucleotide signal recognition particle RNA is filed under the name bacterium TMED88. RNAcentral describes it as "signal recognition particle sRNA small type". It matches the Rfam family "Bacterial small signal recognition particle RNA". Rfam says of the family: The signal recognition particle (SRP) is a universally conserved ribonucleoprotein involved in the co-translational targeting of proteins to membranes. Archaeal SRP consists of a 7S RNA and homologues of the eukaryotic SRP19 and SRP54 proteins. The record is from RNAcentral. RNAcentral also lists the same sequence under 2 other names.
AGGGUCCCGCUCGGGCUCGGGGCCCUGUGAACCCGGUCAGGUCCGGAAGGAAGCAGCCGCAGCAGAGUUUCGGCUGCGGGUGGGGACGCCCUG